RNAcentral lists this ribosomal RNA (1245 nucleotides) under Chinese hot pepper little leaf phytoplasma. Its description in RNAcentral is "bacterial SSU rRNA". It matches the Rfam family "Bacterial small subunit ribosomal RNA", at positions 153 to 1399 of the family's 1533-position model. Lineage: Bacteria; Bacillati; Mycoplasmatota; Mollicutes; Acholeplasmatales; Acholeplasmataceae. The record is from RNAcentral.
GAAACGACUGCUAAGACUGGAUAGGAGACAAGAAGGCAUCUUCUUGUUUUUAAAAGACCUAGCAAUAGGUAUGCUUAGGGAGGAGCUUGCGUCACAUUAGUUAGUUGGUGGGGUAAAGGCCUACCAAGACUAUGAUGUGUAGCCGGGCUGAGAGGUUGAACGGCCACAUUGGGACUGAGACACGGCCCAAACUCCUACGGGAGGCAGCAGUAGGGAAUUUUCGGCAAUGGAGGAAACUCUGACCGAGCAACGCCGCGUGAACGAUGAAGUAUUUCGGUACGUAAAGUUCCUUUAUUAGGGAGGAAUAAAUGAUGGAAAAAUCACUCUGACGGUACCUAAUGAAUAAGCCCCGGCUAACUAUGUGCCAGCAGCCGCGGUAAUACAUAGGGGGCAAGCGUUAUCCGGAAUUAUUGGGCGUAAAGGGUGCGUAGGCGGUUAAAUAAGUUUAUGGUCUAAGUGCAAUGCUCAACAUUGUGAUGCUAUAAAAACUGUUUAGCUAGAGUAAGAUAGAGGCAAGUGAAAUUCCAUGUGUAGUGGUAAAAUGCGUAAAUAUAUGGAGGAACACCAGUAGCGAAGGCGGCUUGCUGGGUCUUUACUGACGCUGAGGCACGAAAGCGUGGGGAGCAAACAGGAUUAGAUACCCUGGUAGUCCACGCCGUAAACGAUGAGUACUAAACGUUGGUUAAAACCAGUGUUGAAGUUAACACAUUAAGUACUCCGCCUGAGUAGUACGUGCGCAAGUAUGAAACUUGAAGGAAUUGACGGGACUCCGCACAAGCGGUGGAUCAUGUUGUUUAAUUCGAAGGUACCCGAAAAACCUCACCAGGUCUUGACAUGCUUCUGCAAAGCUGUAGAAACACAGUGGAGGUUAUCAGUUGCACAGGUGGUGCAUGGUUGUCGUCAGCUCGUGUCGUGAGAUGUUGGGUUAAGUCCCGCAACGAGCGCAACCCUUAUUGUUAGUUACCAGCACGUAAUGGUGGGGACUUUAGUAAGACUGCCAGUGAUAAAUUGGAGGAAGGUGGGGACGACGUCAAAUCAUCAUGCCCCUUAUGACCUGGGCUACAAACGUGAUACAAUGGCUGUUACAAAGGGUAGCUGAAGCGCAAGUUUUUGGCGAAUCUCAAAAAACAGUCUCAGUUCGGAUUGAAGUCUGCAACUCGACUUCAUGAAGUUGGAAUCGCUAGUAAUCGCGAAUCAGCAUGUCGCGGUGAAUACGUUCACGGGGUUUGUACACACCGCCCGUCA